UUAGAGUGACACACCGCUAAGUAAACCGGACCAGAGACAGGGAAAGUCAAUGCCCACCAUCCCUGGAAAUAAGCCUCAACCGCUCCGGUACUUAGAAAAACACAGACAGACAGACGGACGUGUUCUGGACUCCCUCUCCAUUUCUAGCAGACAUCUAUCUUUGGAACAAUUUCAUGGAGUCGCUUAAAGAAAACCAUAACAAAAAUGGAGAGGCAAGCCCUUACCAUUAGAUGUGAGGUGUAUGCAGGGAAGGGAGCGGAAUAUCCCCUCUGACAGUUCCCGGGGGGACCCCAAGAUUCUAGAGAAUCCAGUUUGAAAAUCACCGUGUCGGAAAUUACUGUUCUUGCUGUGAGACGGGGCUUUAUAAGUGAAAAUCUGAACUUACUUGUAUGAAAACUGUUUUGUAGCUGUUUUCAUAUAGUUCCUGAUUUGUCAACAGAUAGACUCCCAGAAUUCUCUCCAUUUGACCUCCAUUGCAUGAAGUUGCCUUUUGAUUCAUUUGGAGGGGGCGGAAGACACUCGAAACUUCAUCAGGCUUUGGUAUUUCUACUUCAUACAUCACUGCCUUUUAUUUAUCUUCAUUAUCAGUUCUUUGGUGUUCUAAAGAGUUUCCAAAUAAUGAAAGAAAUAAAACAUGGUGUUCCACCUAUAAGGACUAGAUAUAUGGAAUAAGAAAGUUUGGGUCAUCUCCACACUGAGACAUCCAGCAAUGCCUGGUUCACAGAUGGAAAUCCUUUCUCCAGUAUCCCCUCUAACAUCUCCCCUGCCCCUAUACAUGCACACAAACACAUACAUUUGCUUGGUUCCUUACAUUUUAAUGGAUCCCAUAAUUCCUUCUUAGGGGCCAAGAGCUAAUGAUAGUUAUUCAUGCUGCCCUGGAAGUCCCCUGAGACAGUACUUAGACAGCUUUUGCCCUCCUCAAUAUUCCACAUUCUGUUUCAAUGUCUUUUCAUAAGCUCUCUCCCAUGCCUGGAAUUCACUCAUUCCUCAACUCUCCUCUUGGAAUUAGUGUCCUUAGAGGGUCAGCUCAGGUACCACCUCCUAAGGACGCCUUUCUCUGGUCUCCUAGUUGUUAAUAUCAUGUCCUCCUCCUAAUGAUUUGAUUCUUAUUUAUCAGGGGAAACAUACUCUCCCCAAAGAAUGCAAAUCUCACUAAAGACAAACAUUGGGCUUUUUUCCUUCCUUUUAUCUUUGCACCUCUAGGACAUAGCACAAUGCCUUGCCCAUAACUGAAGCUUUAUAAAUGUUUAUUGCUGCAAAUCACUUAUCAGCUUAAUGGGGGAGGGAGAGAGAGAGAAAGAUGAAGAGAGCAAACGAGGAACUCAAAAUGUUAGAAAAAAGAGUGCCAAAAUUGUUUUUACAUAUAAAUGGAAAAAUAAAAGACUACUAAAAAUUUUUAAAUGCUUAUUGCAUGAAUGAGUGGAUAAAUAACUAAAAGAAAUAUUAGGAAUGAAUAACUUCAUAUAGGCUUUUUUUGGUAAGCUAUGUAGAUCAAGUUUCAUCAUGUUGGAGUCCUGUGGCUUGUCAGCCUCAGCAAGUAUUUAAAAAUAUCCUACUUGUCUUCUCCUUUUAAUUAGGAGAUUAUUAUAAUAAUAAAGCCUUGACAACAGGUGCUCUUUGUCUUUUAUCCUUUCCACUUAAUAUUCAUAGAUAACAGUCACAUAGUACUGUAAGAUUUGCAAAGUACUUUAUACAUGUUAACUCAUUUGAUCCUUACAGCCAUCCAGUGAAGUAGAUCAUCCCCAAUAUAUACAGAUCAGAAAACUGAGGUUUGUCCAAAUUUGUACAGCUAGUGAGUAUCUGAGGCCAGAUGGUUUUCCUGACACCAGACUAGCACACUAUCCAUUAUUCCAAGUUGCCCACAAGCUUAUUACUUACUCUUUUAUUUCUUCAUUUAAGCAUCUUAAUUUUUCAUCCUGACUCUCCUUCCUAAAAAAGUCUUGAGUACUCUUCAACUCCACCUCUUGGCUUUUUUUAGUCUCAGUUAAAAUUUCACCUUUUGCAAUAAGCUUUCCAGCCUCUUUUAUUGACAGUGCUUUCACUUUGAGAUUACUUUCAAUUUAUUCAGCAUAUAAUUUAAAGUAUAUAGUUGUUAGCAUACUUUCUCCCCCCCCCCCUUAGAAAAUGAGCUCUUAGAAGACAAAGAUGGGUUUUGCUUUUCUUUGUAUCCACAGUUUUCA
Long non-coding RNA from Monodelphis domestica (gray short-tailed opossum), 2180 nucleotides. RefSeq lists it as uncharacterized. Lineage: Eukaryota; Metazoa; Chordata; Mammalia; Didelphimorphia; Didelphidae. The record is from RefSeq and is a predicted model, not a curated record.